RNAcentral lists this ribosomal RNA (429 nucleotides) under uncultured bacterium. Its description in RNAcentral is "bacterial SSU rRNA". It matches the Rfam family "Bacterial small subunit ribosomal RNA", at positions 355 to 776 of the family's 1533-position model. The record is from RNAcentral.
UGGGGAAUAUUGGACAAUGGGGGCAACCCUGAUCCAGCAACGCCGCGUGAAUGAAGAAGGCCUUCGGGUUGUAAAGUUCUUUUAUUGCAGAGCAAAGUCAAGUUGUGAAUAGCGACUGGAGCUGAGAGUAUGCGAAGAAUAAGCACCGGCUAACUACGUGCCAGCAGCCGCGGUAAUACGUAGGGUGCGAGCGUUAAUCGGAAUUACUGGGCGUAAAGGGUGCGCAGGCGGAUAUGUAAGUUAGGAGUGAAAAGCCCGAGCUCAACUUGGGUAGUGCUUUUAAGACUGCGUAUCUAGAGUCUGUCAGAGGGGGGUGGAAUUCCUGGUGUAGCAGUGAAAUGCGUAGAUAUCAGGAGGAACAUCGAUGGCGAAGGCAGCCCCCUGGGAUAAGACUGACGCUCAUGCACGAAAGCGUGGGUGGCAAACAGG